CUAGCACUCCCUGCACCAGA
This 20-nucleotide small nuclear RNA is filed under the name Arabidopsis thaliana (thale cress). RNAcentral's name for it is "snRNA_02586". Lineage: Eukaryota; Viridiplantae; Streptophyta; Magnoliopsida; Brassicales; Brassicaceae. The record is from RNAcentral.